Molecule: ribosomal RNA, 801 nt
Filed under: uncultured bacterium
Lineage: Bacteria
Description: bacterial SSU rRNA
Rfam family: Bacterial small subunit ribosomal RNA
Source: RNAcentral
CAGUCGAACGAGCGAGAGAGAGCUUGCUUUCUCAAGCGAGUGGCGAACGGGUGAGUAACGCGUGAGGAACCUGCCUCAAAGAGGGGGACAACAGUUGGAAACGACUGCUAAUACCGCAUAAGCCCACAGGUCGGCAUCGACCAGAGGGAAAAGGAGCAAUCCGCUUUGAGAUGGCCUCGCGUCCGAUUAGCUAGUUGGUGAGGUAACGGCCCACCAAGGCGACGAUCGGUAGCCGGACUGAGAGGUUGAACGGCCACAUUGGGACUGAGACACGGCCCAGACUCCUACGGGAGGCAGCAGUGGGGAAUAUUGCACAAUGGGGGAAACCCUGAUGCAGCGACGCCGCGUGGAGGAAGAAGGUCUUCGGAUUGUAAACUCCUGUUGUUGAGGAAGAUAAUGACGGUACUCAACAAGGAAGUGACGGCUAACUACGUGCCAGCAGCCGCGGUAAAACGUAGGUCACAAGCGUUGUCCGGAAUUACUGGGUGUAAAGGGAGCGCAGGCGGGAAGACAAGUUGGAAGUGAAAUCUAUGGGCUCAACCCAUAAACUGCUUUCAAAACUGUUUUUCUUGAGUAGUGCAGAGGUAGGCGGAAUUCCCGGUGUAGCGGUGGAAUGCGUAGAUAUCGGGAGGAACACCAGUGGCGAAGGCGGCCUACUGGGCACCAACUGACGCUGAGGCUCGAAAGUGUGGGUAGCAAACAGGAUUAGAUACCCUGGUAGUCCACACCGUANACGAUGAUUACUAGGUGUUGGAGGNUUGACCCCUUCAGUGCCGCAGUUAACACAAUAAGUAAUCCACC